This is a long non-coding RNA of Protobothrops mucrosquamatus (brown spotted pit viper), 195 nucleotides long. RefSeq lists it as uncharacterized. The transcript is spliced from 4 exons. The record is from RefSeq and is a predicted model, not a curated record. Lineage: Eukaryota; Metazoa; Chordata; Lepidosauria; Squamata; Viperidae.
ACCAGAAAAAAGUUGCAAUUGCACGGUCAAAGACAAUUGUGGAUAAUAGUUUCUUGACGUUAGAUGGCAAGAACGACUCAAAAGCUGAAAGGAAGAAGCAUACCUCAAACCAGUUUAAGGCAAAUGCUCAUUUUCACAAGCUGUUUCUGGAUGUCCCAAUUGAUGAACCUUUGAGACAAAAUUUUACCUGUGCCU